This 1179-nucleotide long non-coding RNA is filed under the name Homo sapiens (human). RNAcentral's name for it is "HSALNT0277860". Lineage: Eukaryota; Metazoa; Chordata; Mammalia; Primates; Hominidae. The record is from RNAcentral.
GAGACGGAGUCUUGCUCUGUUGCCCAGGCUGGAGUGCAAUGGCAUGAUCUCGGCUCACUGCAAGCUCCACCUCCCAGGUUCACGCCAUUCUCCUGCCUCAGCCACCUGAGUAGCUGCGACUACAGGUGCCCGCCACCAUGCCCGGCUAAUUUUUUGUAUUUUUAUAGAGACAGGGUUUCACCGUGUUAGCCAGGUUGGUCUCGAUUUCCUGACCUCGUGAUCCGCCCGCGUCGGCCUCCCAAAGUGCUAGGAUUACAGGUGUGAGCCACAGCGGCCAGCCAAAACAAUUUAAAAUGAAAAAACUUGGGCUUAUGCUGAAGGGAAGUUCAGAUCAAUUAUAAAUAUUUAUUAACCAAUUACCAUAUGGAAUUAAUUACCAUAUUAAUCAAUUACCAAGGCAAAGCAUUAUGGAGGAUAUAAGGAGUCCUAAGACAACCUAUGCCCUAGGUAAAUUUAAAACAUAAUUAAGGAGGCAAAAUAUAAACAUAUAAAAAGAAAACUAUCAAGAGACAGCAGUAUAAGUAUGAGACACGGAAAGAAUGAGAACACUCCAAUGUGGCCCUUGCCACAGUGCCCUGCACCCCCACCCAGCUGUUCUUCUCCACUCUCUCUUGCAUAUGACUUAGCUCCUAAGUAUUCCUAUUGUUCUUAGUAAAAUCCAAAUUGCAGGCCGGGCAUCGUGGCUCACGCCUGUAAUCCCAGCACUUUGGGAGGCCAAGGUGGGUGGAUCACCUGAGGUCGGGAGUUCGAGACCAGCCCGACCAACAUGGAGAAACCCUGUCUCUACUAAAAAUACAAAAUUAGCCGGGUGUGGUGGCAUGCACCUGUAAUCGCAGCUACUCGGGAGGCUGAGGAGGAGAAUCGCUUGAACCUGGGAGAUGGAGGUUGUAGUGAGCCGAGAUCGCACCAUUGCACUCCAGCCUGGGCAACAAGAGUGAAACUCCAUCUCGAAAAAAAAAAACUCCAAAUUGCCCAAACAGUGGCUGCUACUCUGCAAGAACAAUUCUUCCCUCUCUGAGAUAAGAAUCAUCCUUAAUCAAUUGUUUCUGAAACCAGCUGAACUCCAGCUGAGCACCCUUGUUAAAGCCCUGUACGACAUUUCACCCUCCUUCCCCAAGUUAAAAGGCUCUUUCAGAGACUUCUUAUGCCUGGCAUUUCUGAAAAGGGACUUCUGCAAAC